RNAcentral lists this ribosomal RNA (435 nucleotides) under uncultured bacterium. RNAcentral describes it as "partial 16S ribosomal RNA". It matches the Rfam family "Bacterial small subunit ribosomal RNA", at positions 29 to 507 of the family's 1533-position model. The record is from RNAcentral.
AGCGAACGCUGGCGGCAGGCUUAACACAUGCAAGUCGAACGCAUCACUUCGGUGGUGAGUGGCAGACGGGUGAGUAACACGUGGGAACGUACCCUUCGAUCUGGGAUAACUUCGGGAAACUGGAGCUAAUACCGGAUACGCCCUUUUGGGGAAAGGUUUACUUUGCAAGAAUCGGCCCGGGUCGGAUUAGUUAGUGGGUGGGGUAACGGCCUACCAAGUGGACGCUCAGUAGCGGGUCUGAGAGGAUGAUCAGCCACACUGGGACUGAGACACGGCCCAGACUCCUACGGGAGGCAGCAGUGGGGAAUAUUGGACAAUGGGCGCAAGCCUGAUCCAGCCAUGCCGCGUGAGUGAUGAAGGCCUUAGGGUUGUAAAGCUCUUUUGUCCGGGACGAUAAUGACGGUACCGGAAGAAUAAGCCCCGGCUAACUUCGUG